AACUUAAGCAUAUCAAUAAGCGGAGGAAAAGAAACCAACAGGGAUUGCCUCAGUAACGGCGAGUGAAGCGGCAACAGCUCAAAUUUGAAAUCUGGCCCCAGGCCCGAGUUGUAAUUUGCAGAGGAUGCUUUUGGCGCGGUGCCUUCCGAGUUCCCUGGAACGGGACGCCAUAGAGGGUGAGAGCCCCGUACGGUUGGACACCAAGCCUUUGUAAAGCUCCUUCGACGAGUCGAGUAGUUUGGGAAUGCUGCUCUAAAUGGGAGGUAUAUUUCUUCUAAAGCUAAAUAUAGGCCAGAGACCGAUAGCGCACAAGUAGAGUGAUCGAAAGAUGAAAAGCACUUUGAAAAGAGGGUUAAACAGCACGUGAAAUUGUUAAAAGGGAAGCGCUUGUGACCAGACUUGCGUCCGGUGAAUCACCCAGCUCUCGCGGCUGGGGCACUUUGCCGGCACAGGCCAGCAUCAGCUCGCUGUCGGGGACAAAAGCUUCGGGAACGUAGCUCUCUUCGGGGAGUGUUAUAGCCCGUUGCAUAAUACCCUUCGGUGGGCUGAGGUACGCGCUCCGCAAGGAUGCUGGCGUAAUGGUCAUCAGCGACCCGUCUUGAAACACGGACCAAGGAGUCAACCUUAUGUGCGAGUGUUUGGGUGUUAAACCCCUACGCGUAAUGAAAGUGAACGCAGGUGAGAGCUUCGGCGCAUCAUCGACCGAUCCUGAUGUUCUCGGAUGGAUUUGAGUAAGAGCAUAUAGGGUUGGACCCGAAAGAAGGUGAACUAUGCGUGUAUAGGGUGAAGCCAGAGGAAACUCUGGUGGAGGCUCGCAGCGGUUCUGACGUGCAAAUCGAUCGUCAAAUAUGCGCA
Molecule: ribosomal RNA, 855 nt
Filed under: Colletotrichum lineola
Lineage: Eukaryota; Fungi; Ascomycota; Sordariomycetes; Glomerellales; Glomerellaceae
Description: LSU rRNA
Rfam family: Eukaryotic large subunit ribosomal RNA
Source: RNAcentral